Molecule: ribosomal RNA, 392 nt
Filed under: Pseudomonas sp. Wphe1
Lineage: Bacteria; Pseudomonadati; Pseudomonadota; Gammaproteobacteria; Pseudomonadales; Pseudomonadaceae
Description: partial 16S ribosomal RNA
Source: RNAcentral
ACUUGAAAGGUCUCUACCUAACCACGGAAGCCCUCGUAACUCUGUCCACGACGUACCGACAGCAGUCGAGCACAGCACUCUACAACCCAAUUCAGGGCAUUGCUCGCGUUGGGAACAGGAAUCAAUGGUCGUGCAUUACCACCCGUGAGAUUCCUCUGACGGCCACUGUUUGGCCUCCUUCCACCCCUACUGCAGUUCAGUAGUACGGGGAAUGCCGGACCCGAUGUGUGCACGAUGUUACCAGCCAUGUCUCCCAACGGUUCGGCGCUCCAGCUCGAUUAGGGUGUUUUGGCUAGCAUCAGGCCUAGCGUCAGACGUUGAGCUGACGCACUUCAGCCUUAGCGAUCAUUAGCGCUUAGUCUUACAGCGCCACUUAUGCAAGGGCCCGGAAC